This is a non-coding RNA of Rhopilema esculentum, 663 nucleotides long. NCBI's taxonomy places the organism in Eukaryota, Metazoa, Cnidaria, Scyphozoa, Rhizostomeae, Rhizostomatidae. The record is from RefSeq and is a predicted model, not a curated record.
CUGUAACAAAACUACUCUAAAAGCAGAUUAUACUUAAUUGUAACCGAAUUGAAAAGUUUUGAACUAUUCAUUACAGCUCUUAGCUUGUCUCCAUAUGCAGUCUGAAUGGGCUGUUUUCAAACAGGGAAUCACCAACAGCGGAGUGCACUUUGUGGGACGUUUUCACGUGCCGUCUGAUUGUGUGGCAUCUUUCUAAUUUUAAGAAGACUUCCAUCUAAACUAAUUUGUUUGCACGAACUUUAAUUUAAAUUGCUGCUUUCGGGCAAUUGCCCGGUGUUCUUAACAUUUUAACUGGCAGAUUGCAUCGUUCAGACCAAAAAGAGCGUUCCUCGAUAAACAGGACCGAAAGAGAAAGAAGAAACAAAAUGAGGAGUCUACCGACUAUGGCACUGAUGUUACUUGGUGUUGCCUUCCUUGUAAAGGAAAUUUCUGGAAAAAGCUCACCUUGGGACAGAAUGGGAGUAACUUGUGAAAGAGAGACUGUUAAAGUCACUAUACGAAAUGAAAUUGGUUGCAGUAAAUCAGGUGUCAGAGUGAAGUUUUGUCGUGGCACUUGCAAAUCUGCAAGCGUUUUUCUUUCCUACUGGCCAUUUUACGAAAGUGCCUGCCGUUGUUGUCGGAAAAUUGGAAUUGUGAAACGGCCAGUUUUGCUCAAGUGUCCUG